RNAcentral lists this ribosomal RNA (595 nucleotides) under uncultured Bacteroidota bacterium. Its description in RNAcentral is "bacterial SSU rRNA". It matches the Rfam family "Bacterial small subunit ribosomal RNA", at positions 122 to 715 of the family's 1533-position model. The record is from RNAcentral. Lineage: Bacteria; Pseudomonadati; Bacteroidota.
CAACCUGCCCAUCACUUGGGGAUAACCUUGCGAAAGUAAGACUAAUACCCAAUGGUAUCUCUAGAAGACAUCUGAAAGAGAUUAAAGAUUUAUCGGUGAUGGAUGGGGAUGCGUCUGAUUAGCUUGUUGGCGGGGUAACGGCCCACCAAGGCGACGAUCAGUAGGGGUUCUGAGAGGAAGGUCCCCCACAUUGGAACUGAGACACGGUCCAAACUCCUACGGGAGGCAGCAGUGAGGAAUAUUGGUCAAUGGACGAGAGUCUGAACCAGCCAAGUAGCGUGCAGGAUGACGGCCCUAUGGGUUGUAAACUGCUUUUAUAAGGGAAUAAAGUGAGCCUCGUGAGGCUUUUUGCAUGUACCUUAUGAAUAAGGACCGGCUAAUUCCGUGCCAGCAGCCGCGGUAAUACGGAAGGUCCGGGCGUUAUCCGGAUUUAUUGGGUUUAAAGGGAGCGUAGGCCGGAGAUUAAGCGUGUUGUGAAAUGUAGACGCUCAACGUCUGCACUGCAGCGCGAACUGGUUUCCUUGAGUACGCACAAAGUGGGCGGAAUUCGUGGUGUAGCGGUGAAAUGCUUAGAUAUCACGAAGAACUCCGAUUG